UGGCGGCAGCAGUCGAGGUGCCUCUUCUUUGUGUGUUGCCUUUCAUGUCUUUCUAUCCGUAGCGAUAGCAUUUGCUUUGUGGAUGGCUCUCCUUGCAGUGCAAUCGCGAGGCUCCCCCCAUGGCGCGUCCAUGGCGUUGUACACAGUACACCAGCACAAAGAGCAUCCCCGGGCACUACUUCAUCUACUAGGAGACGGUCGGUGCCGGCGCCGGCUGGACGGUGGACAAGGAGACCAUCGACGCUUGAGAUGGAUGAGGGACUGAAUACGGUGUGCAUGCAUGGUAGAGUGGCGGACGGCUUCAUCGGGCUGCUCGAGAUCCGCGUCGUCCGGACCGGCACGUCCGAGGAGCUGAUGGACUACGCUAUCUCUCAUGGCGCCUCCAUCAACCAAUACAAGGUGCCCUGGUGCUUGACGCUCCCGCCGAUCAUCGAGCUGUGCAUGCUCCGCUCGCGCGUGGUGUCCAUCCUGUUUAGCCCUGCCGUGCGGCACUGGACCCCUACUCCCACCUGGCGCACGAAAAGGGCUCCUGUUCGGAUUAUAGACUGA
RNAcentral lists this ribosomal RNA (549 nucleotides) under Triticum aestivum (bread wheat). RNAcentral describes it as "partial small subunit ribosomal RNA". The record is from RNAcentral. Lineage: Eukaryota; Viridiplantae; Streptophyta; Magnoliopsida; Poales; Poaceae.